UGGGGAAUAUUGCACAAUGGAGGGAACUCUGAUGCAGCGACGCCGCGUGAACGAAGAAGGCUUUCGAGUCGUAAAGUUCUUUUACAUGGGAAGAUAAUGACGGUACCAUAAGAAAAAGCCCCGGCUAACUACGUGCCAGCAGCCGCGGUAAUACGUAGGGGGCUAGCGUGGUCCGGAAUCACUGGGCGUAAAGGGUUCGCAGGCGGAAAUGCAAGUCAGGUGUAAAAGGCAGUAGCUUAACUACUGUAAGCAUUUGAAACUGCAUAUCUUGAGCAUAGUAGAGGUAAGUGGAAUUUUUAGUGUAGCGGUGAAAUGCGUAGAUAUUAAAAAGAAUACCGGUGGCGAAGGCGACUUACUGGGCUCAUUCUGACGCUGAGGAACGAAAGCGUGGGUAGCAAACAGG
This 403-nucleotide ribosomal RNA is filed under the name bacterium. RNAcentral describes it as "partial 16S ribosomal RNA". It matches the Rfam family "Bacterial small subunit ribosomal RNA", at positions 355 to 776 of the family's 1533-position model. The record is from RNAcentral.